RNAcentral lists this ribosomal RNA (274 nucleotides) under uncultured bacterium. RNAcentral's name for it is "partial 16S ribosomal RNA". It matches the Rfam family "Bacterial small subunit ribosomal RNA", at positions 523 to 796 of the family's 1533-position model. The record is from RNAcentral.
AUACAGAGGGUGCAAGCGUUAAUCGGAAUUACUGGGCGUAAAGCGCGCGUAGGCGGCUUGGUCAGUCGGAUGUGAAAGCCCUGGGCUUAACCUGGGAAUUGCAUUCGAUACUGCCAGGCUAGAAUGUACUAGAGGGUAGUGGAAUUCCAGGUGUAGCGGUGAAAUGCGUAGAUAUCUGGAGGAACAUCAGUGGCGAAGGCGACUACCUGGACUAAAACUGACACUGAGGUGCGAAAGCGUGGGGAGCAAACAGGAUUAGAAACCCCGGUAGUCC